UGGCGAACGGGGUGAGUAACGCGUGAGUAACCUGCCUUUCAGUGGGGGGACAACAGAGGGAAACUUCUGCUAAUACCGCAUAACGUGCCUUGGGGGCAUCCCUGGGGUACCAAAGAUUUAUUGCUGAAAGAUGGGCUUGCGUCUGAUUAGAUAGUUGGCGGGGUAACGGCCCACCAAGUCGACGAUCAGUAGCCGGUCUGAGAGGAUGAACGGCCACAUUGGGACUGAGAUACGGCCCAGACUCCUACGGAAGGCAGCAG
This 260-nucleotide ribosomal RNA is filed under the name uncultured bacterium. Its description in RNAcentral is "partial 16S ribosomal RNA". It matches the Rfam family "Bacterial small subunit ribosomal RNA", at positions 96 to 354 of the family's 1533-position model. The record is from RNAcentral.